CAGCGCCAUCUAGUGCUCUGGAAGACAUUUAUGCCACAACACAGAAAUGAAACAAACAAAAUAUAAAAAAAUAUUAAAAGCAAACUGAACUUAACAAAUAAAAAAGCUGUACUCAUUGUCCAUCCUAAAAAACAUCUGAGAUGUAUCAGACCAGACUGUAGACCUGUACAAUCUGCUGGCAGGUUAAGCGGUUCUCCCUUGUCUUGUGCUUCGCAAACUUUGCUACAAUCACAAAAUUUUACAGUGCAAACACUUACAUGGUUCCACAAAUGUUGUGCCACAAUGAAAGGACUACACUAAUGAUCUGCAGCCCCAAGGCAUGUGCACCAUAGCAUGUGCUCUAGCCAUCAUGACUAAGGUAAGCAGGGCAUCCUGGGUCACAUGCCUGCUGUUGACUCUUGCAUUGCAUCAUUGGUGGUUUUGCCAGAUGAAUAGUUAGAUUCAGAUGUACACUGCCAAAGUGCAGAGCAGGUACAAGGAAGGUAUUCUCAAGACAGCUAAUGAUGUUGCUACAUGCGUGGAACAGGCAGGCAACUUGCUAACAAUUUCUCUACUCCUGUUGGACUGAUUGUUCUAAUCAUCGACAGUUGAAGGCUUUGUGAAGGACCCGAUUGAAACCACACUUCUGGUAGUAGGACUGUAAGAUACACCUGUAUCUGUCAGUCUAGUCUUUGAAUGAUGAAAAAGGAGACAAAGUGAACAACCUCAUAUUUAUACCCCAUGGCAACAGGACAUGGACAAAGGCAGCAACAGUUUGUGAGAACUGAGAUAAAAAUAAAAAUCGUUUUAGAAGGUUGACAACUUUUUGCAUCUUUCCAUUAUUGCAUACUAUUGUUGAAUUUAUUUUUUUUUAUUGGACAUAUGCAAAGGCAAUUUGG
This is a long non-coding RNA of Tachysurus fulvidraco (yellow catfish), 878 nucleotides long. RefSeq lists it as uncharacterized. The transcript has 3 exons. The record is from RefSeq and is a predicted model, not a curated record. Lineage: Eukaryota; Metazoa; Chordata; Actinopteri; Siluriformes; Bagridae.